Non-coding RNA from Xyrichtys novacula (pearly razorfish), 1305 nucleotides. The record is from the annotation of a GenBank genome assembly. Lineage: Eukaryota; Metazoa; Chordata; Actinopteri; Labriformes; Labridae.
UGAAAUCGGGUGUUUGGAGCAGGAGUUGAACAAGCGACCUUUGGACCACAGUGUUUCAGGAACUUCUUAAAGUCAUGUGCUCUACCAACUGAGCUAUGAAGGUGCUUAUAGAUACAAACGCAGAAAACAUAGUGGCUUCGGCGACACACUUUGCCAACAAUACAAUUGGACCCACAUGGUCAAUGAAAAAGGUUGAACAGUGCAUAUACCAAUGAAAUCUGGUGCUUGGAGCUGGAGUUGAACCAGCCACCUUUGGACCACAGCGUUUCAGGAACUUCUUAAAGUCAUGUGCUCUACCAACUGAGCUAUGAAGGUGCUUAUAGAUACAAACGCAGAAAACAUAGUGGCUUCGGCGACACACUUUGCCAACAAUACAAUUGGACCCACAUGGUCAAUGAAAAAGGUUGAACAGUGCAUAGACCAAUGAAAUCUGGUGUUUGGAGCUGGAGUUGAACCAGCCACCUUUGGACCACAGCGUUUCUUGAACUUCUUAAAGUCAUGUGCUCUACCAACUGAGCUAUGAAGGUGCUUAUAGAUGCAAAAGCAGAAAACAUAGUGGCUUCGGCGACACACUUUGCCAACAAUAUAAUUGGACCCACUUGGUCAAUGAAAAAGGUUGAACAGUGCAUAGACCAAUGAAAUAUGGAGUUUGGAGCUGGAGUUGAACCAGCCACCUUUGGACCACAGCGUUUCAGGAACUUCUUAAAGUCCUCUGCUCUACCAACUGAGCUAUGAAGGUGCUUAUAGAUACAAACGCAGAAAACAUAGUGGCUUUGGCGACACACUUUGCCAACAAUACAAUUGGACCCACAUGGUCAAUGAAAAAGGUUGAACAGUGCAUAUACCAAUGAAAUCUGGUGCUUUGAGCUGGAGUUGAACCAGCGACCUUUGGACCACAGCGUUUCAGAAACUUCUUACAGUCCUCUGCUCUACCAACUGAGCUAUGAAGUGCUCAUAGACACAACUGCAGAAAACAUAGUGGCUUCGGCGACACACUUUGCCAACAAUACAAUUGGACCCGCAUGGUCGAUGAAAAAGGUUGAACAGUGCAUACACCAAUGAAAUCUAGUGUUUGGAGUAGGAGUUGAACCAGCCACCUUUGGACCACAGCGUUUCAGGAACUUCUUAAAGUCAUGUGCUCUACCAACUGAGCUAUGAAGGUGCUUAUAGAUACAAACGCAGAAAACAUAGUGGCUUCGGCGACACACUUUGCCAACAAUAUAAUUGGACCCACAUGGUCAAUGAAAAAGGUUGAACAGUCCAUAGACCAAUGAAAUCUUGUGUUUGGAGCAGGAGUUGAACCAG